This 497-nucleotide ribosomal RNA is filed under the name uncultured bacterium. RNAcentral's name for it is "partial 16S ribosomal RNA". It matches the Rfam family "Bacterial small subunit ribosomal RNA", at positions 28 to 507 of the family's 1533-position model. The record is from RNAcentral.
GAUGAACGCUGGCGGCGUGCCUAAUACAUGCAAGUCGAGCGAACAGAUGAGGAGCUUGCGCCUCUGACGUUAGCGGCGGGGGGGUGAGUAACACGUGGAUAACCUACCUAUAAGACGGGGAUAACUGCGGGAAACCGGAGCUAAUACCGGAGAAUAUAUUGAACCGCAUGGUGCAAUGGUGAAAGACGGUUUUGGUGUCACUUAUAGAUGGAUCCGGGCCGCAUUAGGUAGUUGGUAAGGUAAAGGCUUACCAAGGCAACCAUGCGUAGCCGACCUGAGAGACUGGUCGGCGACCCGGGAGCGGGGACACCGUCCAGGGUCCUACGAGACGCCGCAGUCGCGAACGUUACGCAGUAGGCGAGAGCCUGACACAGCGGCGGCGAGUCUGAGACGGCGGCGUUCCGUGCGUGAUGCCCUGUUACUAGGGGUAAACAACUGUGUCCGGAGCCAUGCCCGGAUUGACGGUACCUAGUAAGAAAGCCCCGGCUAACUACGUG